GAUGAACGCUGGCGGCGUGCCUAACACAUGCAAGUCGAACGGAGAUUACGGACGGAAGUUUUCGGAUGGAAGCCUGUAAUUCUUAGUGGCGGACGGGUGAGUAACGCGUGGGCAACCUGCCCUAUACAGGGGGAUAGCAGCUGGAAACGGCUGGUAAGACCGCAUAAGUCGGUUAAAUCGCAUGAUUUGAUCGGGAAAUGAGCAAUCAGGUAUAGGAUGGGCCCGCGUCCGAUUAGCCAGUUGGCAGGGUAAAAGCCUACCAAAGCGACGAUCGGUAGCCGGACUGAGAGGUCGGACGGACACAUUGGGACUGAGACACGGCCCAAACUCCUACGGGAGGCAGCAGUGGGGGAUAUUGCACAAUGGAGGAAACGCUGAUGCAGCGACGCCGCGUGAGUGAAGAAGUAUUUCGGUAUGUAAAGCUCUAUCAGCAGGGAAGAUGAUGACGGUACCUGACUAAGAAGCCCCGGCUAACUACGUG
RNAcentral lists this ribosomal RNA (481 nucleotides) under uncultured bacterium. RNAcentral describes it as "partial 16S ribosomal RNA". It matches the Rfam family "Bacterial small subunit ribosomal RNA", at positions 28 to 507 of the family's 1533-position model. The record is from RNAcentral.